This 514-nucleotide ribosomal RNA is filed under the name uncultured bacterium. RNAcentral describes it as "partial 16S ribosomal RNA". It matches the Rfam family "Bacterial small subunit ribosomal RNA", at positions 28 to 523 of the family's 1533-position model. The record is from RNAcentral.
GAUGAACGCUGGCGGCGUGCCUAAUACAUGCAAGUCGAGCGAAUGGAUUAAGAGCUUGCUCUUUUGAAGUUAGCGGCGGACGGGUGAGUAACACGUGGGUAACCUGCCCAUAAGACUGGGAUAACUCCGGGAAACCGGGCUAAUACCGGAUAACAUUUUGAACCGCAUGGUUCGAAAUUGAAAGGCGGCUUCGGCUGUCACUUAUGGAUGGACCCGCGUCGCAUUAGCUAGUUGGUGAGGUAACGGCUCACCAAGGCAACGAUGCGUAGCCGACCUGGGAGGGUGAUCGGCCAGACUGGGACUGAGACACGGCCCAGACUCCUACGGGAGGCAGCAGUAGGGAAUCUUCCGCAAUGGACGAAAGUCUGACGGAGCAACGCCGCGUGAGUGAUGAAGGCUUUCGGGUCGUAAAACUCUGUUGUUAGGGAAGAACAAGUGCUAGUUGAAUAAGCUGGCACCUUGACGGUACCUAACCAGAAAGCCACGGCUAACUACGUGCCAGCCGCCGCGGUAA